UUCAAGGCUGGGCAGAACAUUGCAAGCUCCUGAGCCCCGAACUUCAGCAUGCAUAAGGAUGGCCCUAUAAGCGUAGCGAAACUGCGCAGAGGAUGGGUUGUUAUUCCAUCCUCCACGUUGACGGAUGCAGCUGAAUAGGAGCUCCAAGUGAUCUUGACUCAGCCUGUAGGUGCAGAUGUACCUGUGCAUUGGGAGGCAUCUCGGUCAAAGAGCAUCUCUGCAAGUUCAGCGACACUUUUCAAUGAAAAUGCCAGGCUUAAGACGGACAUCCGCCUCCCAUCCAAGACUGCAAGUUUCCCCGACGGCAAAACAAGUGACAUGAGCUUUCUAGACAUUGCAAGCAUGGUUGUCUUUUGAGAGGAGAAGGACCCUUUGCGGAGGGGAGCCUUGAAAUUUUCGGCUCGUGGACUAUGUGAGUUGAGGAGGUCAAAGGCUCUGCAAAAGUUUUCGCUGGGAGGCAAGAAGUUAAGAAGCCAAGCUAUUUCUGGUUACCGUCUGGUCUGCAUGCACUGCAGUGCCCUGU
Long non-coding RNA from Ornithodoros turicata, 523 nucleotides. RefSeq lists it as uncharacterized. Lineage: Eukaryota; Metazoa; Arthropoda; Arachnida; Ixodida; Argasidae. The record is from RefSeq and is a predicted model, not a curated record. The transcript is spliced from 3 exons.